GUACACGCUGUGACUAGCAUAUCAAUAAGCGGAGGAAAAGAAACUAACAAGGAUUCCCCUAGUAACGGCGAGUGAAGCGGGAAGAGCUCAAAUUUGAAAUCUUAAAGGGUUUCCCUUUACGAAUUGUAGUUUAAAGAAGUGUUUUCUGUUGAGGUUUUGGUAAAAGUUCUUUGGAAUAGGACAUCAUAGAGGGUGAGAAUCCCGUAUUUGACCAUUACUUUUCAACUGUGUGAUACACUUUCAAAGAGUCGGAUUGUUUGGGAAUGCAGUCCAAAAUGGGUGGUAAAUUUCAUCUAAAGCUAAAUAUUGGCGAGAGACCGAUAGCGAACAAGUACCGUGAGGGAAAGAUGAAAAGAACUUUGAAAAGAGAGUUAAACAGUACGUGAAAUUGUCAAAAGGGAAGCGUUUGACACCAGUGUUGUUUUUCUGAAAAUCAAUUAAAGAACUGUUUAUGCUAAGUUGUUUAGACUUUAUCAGCUAACUGUUUAGUUUUGAGCUUUUCUUUAAUGCACUUUUCAGUUAACAAGUCAACAUCAAUUUCUUUUGCUGUAAAAAAGCUUGAGGAAGGUGGCUUGAGAUUCGUCUUAAGUGUUUAUAGCCUCUUGCCUAUGCAGUCGGAGAGAUUGAGGUCUGCAGCGUAGAUCCUUCGGGGCUAAAUGCAUUUGUGCUAAGUUAUAGCAUUUUAUAGACAACUUGUUGACUAUGAUUUGUCUUGUAGCUUACUCGCUUAUGUUAUUUUACCUACGCUUAGGAUGUUGAAGUCAUCGUAUCGCGC
Molecule: ribosomal RNA, 775 nt
Filed under: uncultured Neocallimastigales
Lineage: Eukaryota; Fungi; Neocallimastigomycota; Neocallimastigomycetes; Neocallimastigales
Description: partial large subunit ribosomal RNA
Rfam family: Eukaryotic large subunit ribosomal RNA
Source: RNAcentral